GGGGGAUAACCUGGGGAAACCCAGGCUAAUACCGCAUACGUCCUACGGGAGAAAGGGGGCUCCGGCUCCCGCUAUUGGAUGAGCCUAUGUCGGAUUAGCUAGUUGGUAAGGUAAUGGCUUACCAAGGCAACGAUCCGUAGCUGGUCUGAGAGGAUGAUCAGCCACAUCGGGACUGAGACACGGCCCGAACUCCUACGGGAGGCAGCAGUGGGGAAUAUUGGACAAUGGGGGCAACCCUGAUCCAGCCAUGCCGCGUGUGUGAAGAAGGCCCUCGGGUUGUAAAGCACUUUCAGCGAGGAAGAACGCCUAUCGGUUAAUACCCGGUAGGAAAGACAUCACUCGCAGAAGAAGCACCGGCUAACUCCGUGCCAGCAGCCGCGGUAAUACGGAGGGUGCAAGCGUUAAUCGGAAUUACUGGGCGUAAAGCGCGCGUAGGUGGCUUGAUAAGCCGGUUGUGAAAGCCCCGGGCUCAACCUGGGAACGG
RNAcentral lists this ribosomal RNA (484 nucleotides) under marine sediment bacterium BB0608_AND_8.1_1S10. Its description in RNAcentral is "bacterial SSU rRNA". It matches the Rfam family "Bacterial small subunit ribosomal RNA", at positions 138 to 623 of the family's 1533-position model. The record is from RNAcentral.